RNAcentral lists this ribosomal RNA (392 nucleotides) under Pneumocystis carinii f. sp. suis. Its description in RNAcentral is "partial 16S ribosomal RNA". The record is from RNAcentral. Lineage: Eukaryota; Fungi; Ascomycota; Pneumocystomycetes; Pneumocystales; Pneumocystaceae.
UCAUGCUGGUUUUCUGCGAAUCUGUUUUAGCAAAUUAUUUAUUUUAUUAUUAGUAGGUAUAGCACUGAAUAUUUUUUUUUCCAAAAAAGGGAUUAUAAUUUUACUUACCUAAAAAAUUUAAUCCCAAAAGGGCUAAAAAUUUAGGUAAAAAACCGAACUUUUUCCAAUAAGGUAUAAAGCCUAAGGGGAACCACCCCAAAACAGUAAAAAAAAAGGUAAGGCCCCCCAUUUAAAAUUAGGUGCAAAAUUUCCCAAGNNUUUNUUCGGGAGCGGANUCUNNGCUUCGGAUUUCAAAGGGGGCUGGGGCUCCCCNUUUANUUUUAAGGGAAAUUUCCAAAGGGNCGGGGUUUGNNNGGNGGAGGGUGCGCGGGUAAAAUGCAAGGGGGGUUCCC